GACGAACGCUGGCGGCGUGCCUAAUACAUGCAAGUCGAACGCUGAAGGAGGAGCUUGCUUGUCGGGUUGAGUCGCGAACGGGAGUGUAACGCGUAGGUAACCUGCCUGGUGGUGGGGGAUAACUAUUGGAAACGAUAGAUAAUACCGCAUAACAGUAGAUAUCGCAUGAUAUCUACUUGAAAGGUGCCGUUGCAUCACUACCAGAUGGCCCUGCGUUGUAUUAGCUAGUUGGUGAGGUAACGGCGCACCAAGGCGACGAUACAUAGCCGACCUGAGAGGGGGGGCUGCCACGCUGGGACGGGUACACGGCCCAGACUCCUCCGGGAGGCAGCAGUAGGUAAUCUUCGGCGAUGGACGGAAGACUGACCGAGAAACGCCGCGUGAGUGAAGAAGGGUUUCGGAUCGUAAAGCUCUGUUGUAAGGGAAGAACGAGUGUGAGAGUGGAAAGUUCACACUGUUACGGUAACUUACCAGAAAGGGACGGCUAACUACGUG
This 495-nucleotide ribosomal RNA is filed under the name uncultured bacterium. RNAcentral's name for it is "partial 16S ribosomal RNA". It matches the Rfam family "Bacterial small subunit ribosomal RNA", at positions 28 to 507 of the family's 1533-position model. The record is from RNAcentral.